RNAcentral lists this ribosomal RNA (783 nucleotides) under Triticum aestivum (bread wheat). RNAcentral's name for it is "partial small subunit ribosomal RNA". Lineage: Eukaryota; Viridiplantae; Streptophyta; Magnoliopsida; Poales; Poaceae. The record is from RNAcentral.
AUGAGCUCGGCAUCGCCAUUCCCACCCCCCUCGCCGUCGAGCGCGAGCGUCCCGAUGGUGGUGAUCACCGUGGUGGGGAUACUCGCGGCGUUCGCGCUGCUGGCGGGCUACUACGCCUUCGUCACCCGGUGCCAGCCGCUCCGCGCGCUGCUCUCGCGCGGCGGCCCCACGACGUCGGUGAGCCCCGGCCCCUCCCCGCCGGCGGCGGCCGACGAGAAGCGGGGCCUCGGGCUGCCGCUCAUCCGCAUGCUCCCCGUCGUCCGGUUCACGGCGGCGGAGGACGCGGCGGCGCCGAGGAUCUCCGUGUCGGAGUGCGCCGUGUGCCUGAGCGAGUUCGCGGAGCGGGAGCGCGUGCGGCUGCUGCCCGGCUGCUCCCACGCCUUCCACAUCGACUGCAUCGACACCUGGCUGCAGGGCAGCGCCCGGUGCCCCUUCUGCCGGAGGGACGUCACCCUGCCGGCGCCGCACGCGCAAUACCAUCGGCCGCCGCCGCCCUUCCGCCGUCGGGACGAGCAGCUCCCGACCAGCGCCACCGGCGGCAACGACAACGGCGGGAGCAUCGUGAUCGAGGUGAGAGGGGAGCGCGAGACCUGGUCCGACGGCAGGAGGGGCCGGAAGAAGAAGGCGGAGAGCGUGGGCGACGAGGCGGUGGACACGAGGACGAAGAAAGGGGAGUUCGCGGCGGUGCAGCCGAUGCGGCGGUCGCUCUCCAUGGACUCGUGCGACGCCAAGCGGCGGCAGCUCUACCUGUCCGUCGUCCGGGAGUUCCUCGCGCAGAGCUAG